Molecule: long non-coding RNA, 3354 nt
Filed under: Salmo salar (Atlantic salmon)
Lineage: Eukaryota; Metazoa; Chordata; Actinopteri; Salmoniformes; Salmonidae
Description: lncRNA (ENSSSAG00000104824.1)
Source: RNAcentral
GUCAUUCUAGAAAUCAAAUCGAAUUCUAGUUCUGUUGGUGUCAUUCUAGAAAUCAAAUCUAAUUCUAGUUUUGUUGGUGUCAUUCUAGAAAUCAAAUGUAAUUCUAGUUCUGUUGGUGGAGCUAUAUGAACAUUAUCAGUAUGCCUUGUCCUUCUGUUCAACUCCUCCCUUGUGUACGUUAGAAUUCCCUGUCAAGUCUUUAUUAUGUAAACUAAUGUUUACAAAUUUCCUGCACAAGUGUCCCCUGGUGGCAUUGGUAAUAUAGAGAACACAGUGCCAAAUUACCUCAUUUGUUUAUAAAGGACACGGAAUAUGUUACAGCUUCAAUUGUUUUAUUAUUCAUCGAUUGAUAACCAGAAUGAAAACAAAUGCAGAAAGUUACAUAGUAAAUAUAGACCUGUUCACCUCUUGCAUGCCAGAGUCCCUCUUCAUCUCUCUGUCCAGCUCGGAGCUUCCCUCCUCCUCCGUCUCCUCCCCUUUGCGUCUCUCCCGGAGCGAGUGAGUAUUGUGAGGGCAGCGCACUGUUUCUGUAGCGACAAGAGGUCAGGGCACAGGAGAGCUGCGUUGGGGCAAAGAGUUAGAAAAAAGACUCACUGUGAUAUCUUCAUCAUGCUCACGGUGUGGCAGUUCUGAGGUGGCUCAGUUGGUUGGAGCACGGUGCUGACAACAUCAGGGUUAUGGGUUUGGGACAUGGAGCACGGUGCUGACAACAUCAGGGUUAUGGGUUUGAUUCCCAGAUGGAGCACGGUGCUGACAACAUCAGGGUUAUGGGUUUGGGACAUGGAGCACGGUGCUGACAACAUCAGGGUUAUGGGUUUGAUUCCCAGAUGGAGCACGGUGCUGACAACAUCAGGGUUAUGGGUUUGGGACAUGGAGCACGGUGCUGACAACAUCAGGGUUAUGGGUUUGAUUCCCAGAUGGAGCACGGUGCUGACAACAUCAGGGUUAUGGGUUUGAUUCCCAGAUGGAGCACGGUGCUGACAACAUCAGGGUUAUGGGUUUGGGACAUGGAGCACGGUGCUGACAACAUCAGGGUUAUGGGUUUGAUUCCCAUGUGGAGCACGGUGCUGACAACAUCAGGGUUAUGGGUUUGAUUCCCAUGUGGAGCACGGUGCUGACAACAUCAGGGUUAUGGGUUUGAUUCCCAUGUGGAGCACGGUGCUGACAACAUCAGGGUUAUGGGUUUGAUUCCCACGUGGAGCACACAUACAAUACUUCGAUAUAAGAACUAUGAGCUGCUUAGAAUUAAAGCAUAUUACAGUAUUACUACUAUCUGCAGAGGAGCUAUAAUACUCACAGCCAGAGGGGGUGCUGUAGAGAGGAGCUAUAAUACUCACAGCCAUAGGGGGUGCUGUAGAGAGGAGCUAUAAUACUCACAGGCAGAGGGGGUGCUGUAGAGAGGAGCUAUAAUACUCACAGCCAGAGGGGGUGCUGUAGAGAGGAGCUAUAAUACUCACAGCCAGAGGGGGCGCUGUAGAGAGGAGCUAUAAUACUCACAGCCAGAGGGGGUGCUGUAGAGAGGAGCUAUAAUACUCACAGCCAGAGGGGGCGCUGUAGAGAGGAGCUAUAAUACUCACAGCCAGAGGGGGUGCUGUAGAGAGGAGCUAUAAUACUCACAGCCAGAGGGGGCGCUGUAGAGAGGAGCUAUAAUACUCACAGCCAGAGGGGGCGCUGUAGAGAGGAGCUAUAAUACUCACAGACAGAGGGGGCGCUGUAGACAGGAGCUGUAAUACUCACAGCCAGAGGGGGUGCUGUAGAGAGGAGCUAUAAUACUCACAGCCAGAGGGGGCGCUGUAGAGAGGAGCUAUAAUACUCACAGGCAGAGGGGGUGCUGUAGAGAGGAGCUAUAAUACUCACAGCCAGAGGGGGCGCUGUAGAGAGGAGCUAUAAUACUCACAGGCAGAGGGGGCGCUGUAGAGAGGAGCUAUAAUACUCACAGGCAGAGGGGGUGCUGUAGAGAGGAGCUAUAAUACUCACAGCCAGAGGGGGUGCUGUAGAGAGGAGCUAUAAUACUCACAGCCAGAGGGGGCGCUGUAGAGAGGAGCUAUAAUACUCACAGCCAGAGGGGGUGCUGUAGAGAGGAGCUAUAAUACUCACAGCCAGAGGGUGCGCUGUAGAGAGGAGCUAUAAUACUCACAGCCAGAGGGGGUGCUGUAGAGAGGAGCUAUAAUACUCACAGGCAGAGGGGGCGCUGUAGAGAGGAGCUUUAAUACUCACAGGCAGAGGGGGCGCUGUAGAGAGGAGCUAUAAUACUCACAGGCAGAGGGGGCGCUGUAGAGAGGAGCUAUAAUACUCACAGGCAGAGGGGGUGCGGUAGAGAGGAGUUUCUUGGUAGGGAGGUUUAUCAACACCUGAGGCUAAAGAAGAGGCACAGACAAAGCAAUGAGAACAGGGACUGUCCUGUUACAACACUUGUAAUGUAUCCUCCCUUCCUUCUUAGAAGUAAUCACUAAUCUCUUCGCUCUCAGUGAAGUAGUGGAACACUUGAGUCCUACCAAGGAGAGGGGGAUGGAGAGAGGGAUGAGAGAGAGGGAAGGAGAGAGAGGGAAGGAGAGAGGUAUAAAGAGAGGUGAUGAGCAGAUGAAAUUACAGAUAGAUAAGUCUGGGGAGGCUGUUCUGUGACUGUAUAUACUGUGACUGUACAUACUGUGACUGUACAUAACCACACACAUUUGGCAGCAGAAAAUAUAGUACCCAAAUAUCUUGAAAUUCAUGUGGAUAGUUGGAUUCGUAGUUCCUCAUGAGUCAAACACAGAACAGCGUGAACACACACACCUCUCCACAGUAGCUUUCCAGUGCUUUCUCCGUGCUCCUCUCGGACUGACGCCCUGACUCCCCCUCUCUCUCGGAGGCAUCUGGGGCAGAGGGCUUGGCCACCUGAGGAGGGGGGGGGGGUCAUCUCUAGGGCAACGGCCUCUAACUUCACCUCCACGGGUUGGCCUGUCUCCUCGUCCAGCAGUCCCCCCCGCAUCACUGACACCUUCAGACUGGACAUACACACACACACACACACACACACACACACACACACACACACACACACACUGAAAGAAAAACAAUACAACAGAAGGUAAGCUUCUAAAAUGACAGUUGAAGAUAAUACGAGGUGAAGAUGACCACUAUAACACCAGGCCUGUCAGAAAACAGGAGGCGAGGUAACGUAUGGCACUAUUAACUCUUUCCAUGGGACUUACUGGUCAGUGGAGGUCAUGCCUAGCUCCAUGUCCCUCCCUCUCUCUUCCAUCUCAGUACAACACACACACAACACACACAAAGCUAUAUUUACAUUUCUAUAGCUUUUAUUAUCUGUCCUAAAUCUUUACUCUCACCAUCAUGGAAUUGGUCCUGGUACUC